AAUGAACGUUGGCGGCGUGGAUUAGGCAUGCAAGUCGUGCGAGAACCUGGCCUGUGGCGGCUACGGCCAAAGUGGGCCCGGGGGAAAGCGGCGAAAGGGAGCGUAACGCGUGGGUGACUUGCCCUCGGGACCGGGAUAGCUGCUGGAAACGGCAGGUAAUACCGGAUGAGGUCUCUGGACCAAAGGUGCGAUUCCGCCCGAGGAGAGGCCCGCGUCCUAUUAGCUUGUUGGUGAGGUAAUGGCCCACCAAGGCUUAGAUGGGUAGCGGGUGUUAGCGCAUGGCCCCACGACUGGGACUGAGACACUGCCCAGACACCUACGGGUGGCUGCAGUCGAGAAUCUUCGGCAAUGGACGCAAGUCUGACCGAGCGACGCCGCGUGCGGGAUGAAGGCCCUUGGGUUGUAAACCGCUGUCAGAGGGGAUGAAAUGCGGGAGGGUUCUCCCUUCCGUUUGACAGAGCCUCAGAGGAAGCACGGGCUAAGUACGUG
Molecule: ribosomal RNA, 489 nt
Filed under: uncultured bacterium
Lineage: Bacteria
Description: bacterial SSU rRNA
Rfam family: Bacterial small subunit ribosomal RNA
Source: RNAcentral